Molecule: ribosomal RNA, 253 nt
Filed under: uncultured bacterium
Lineage: Bacteria
Description: partial 16S ribosomal RNA
Rfam family: Bacterial small subunit ribosomal RNA
Source: RNAcentral
UACGUAGGUGACAAGCGUUGUCCGGAUUUACUGGGCGUAAAGAGCGUGCAGGCGGUUGUUCAAGUCGGGUGUGAAAGCCCCCGGCUCAACUGGGGAGGGUCAUUCGAUACUGAUCGACUCGAAGGCAGGAGAGGGUAGUGGAAUUCCCGGUGUAGUGGUGGAAUGCGUAGAUAUCGGGAGGAACACCAGUGGCGAAGGCGGUUGCCUGGAGCUUUGCUGACGCUGAGGCGCGAAAGCGUGGGGAGCGAUCCGG